This 253-nucleotide ribosomal RNA is filed under the name uncultured bacterium. RNAcentral describes it as "partial 16S ribosomal RNA". It matches the Rfam family "Bacterial small subunit ribosomal RNA", at positions 524 to 776 of the family's 1533-position model. The record is from RNAcentral.
UACAGAGGGUGCGAGCGUUAUUCGGAAUUACUGGGCGUAAAGCGCGUGUAGACGGUUUUUUAAGUCGGAUGUGAAAGCCCCGGGCUCAACCUGGGAAUUGCAUUCGAGACUGAAUAGCUAGGGUGCGGUAGAGGGAAGCGGAAUUUCCGGUGUAGCGGUGAAAUGCGUAGAUAUCGGAAGGAACAUCAGUGGCGAAAGCGACUUCCUGGACCAAUACUGACGCUCAUGUGCGAAAGCGUGGGGAGCAAACAGG